RNAcentral lists this transfer RNA (83 nucleotides) under archaeon. RNAcentral describes it as "tRNA-Leu". It matches the Rfam family "tRNA". Rfam says of the family: Transfer RNA (tRNA) molecules are approximately 80 nucleotides in length. Their secondary structure includes four short double-helical elements and three loops (D, anti-codon, and T loops). The record is from RNAcentral.
GCGGGAGUGCCGGAGUGGUCAAACGGGGCGGCCUUAGGAGCCGUUAGCUUAUGCUUGCGAGGGUUCGAAUCCUUUCUCCCGCA